RNAcentral lists this ribosomal RNA (301 nucleotides) under uncultured bacterium. RNAcentral describes it as "partial 16S ribosomal RNA". It matches the Rfam family "Bacterial small subunit ribosomal RNA", at positions 509 to 807 of the family's 1533-position model. The record is from RNAcentral.
CAGUCGCCACGGUAAUACGAAGGGUGCAAGCGUUAAUCGGAAUUACUGGGCGUAAAGCGUGCGUAGGUGGUGGUUUAAGUCCGUUGUGAAAGCCCUGGGCUCAACCUGGGAAUUGCAGUGGAUACUGGGUCACUAGAGUGUGGUAGAGGAUAGUGGAAUUUCCGGUGUAGCAGUGAAAUGCGUAGAGAUCGGAAGGAACAUCUGUGGCGAAGGCGACUAUCUGGGCCAACACUGACACUGAGGCACGAAAGCGUGGGGAGCAAACAGGAUUAGAUACCCCGGUAGUCCCUGUCUCUUAUAC